Non-coding RNA from Lactuca sativa (garden lettuce), 322 nucleotides. Lineage: Eukaryota; Viridiplantae; Streptophyta; Magnoliopsida; Asterales; Asteraceae. The record is from RefSeq and is a predicted model, not a curated record.
GAAAAAAAAUGUUAUUAUUAUUUUUUUGAUAAAAAAUGUUACUAUGUUCUUCAAUCUCUAAAAAUUUCUUUGAGUUGAUAUAUAAAUUGAAUUGGUUAUUUUAAUAUCUUUGUAUGUUAGGCAGCUACAAAAAAUAGAUGAGGUUUAUAUACUAGUCACUCUAUUUCCAGAACAAAAUUUUAGACAGCUGAACAAGAAAUGGAUGAAGUUUAUACAUAGAUCACUAUAUUUCCAGAGCAAAAUGUCAUCGAUGUAUGUCUUCCUCUUCGGCUGCUAAAACAGAUGGAAACCAGGGAUGUUAAUAAUUUGUACCGUUUUGGGU